GAGUGAGAGACGGCAGCCGCCUGCUAGCUGGCUAAUAAAAGGCUCUUUAAAUUCUGUUUGGCUGUCUCGUACUUUACCUCGUGGGCACCGUAACAUUUGGAGGCCCCAGCAAGAUAUAUCUCAGCGUUUGCUGAGGCUCGUAGGUCGAGACAAAGGUCUGACUACCGGCCCUCCCCCAGGGGGUGCGCGCUGAGAGACGUUCCUCAGCCCCGGCGGAGAACCGAGUGGUCAAGCCUCGAAAUUCAAAAAUCCGCCUCUGGAGCCGUCUGGACGUGGGCCCACAAUGCCCACAUAGGAAGACUAUCAACAACUUCUGCAAACCCUUUUCACGUCAGAAGAGGAAGAGAAUCCGUGCCCAGGGAUGGAAACUAGUCGUGGGGCCAGACAAUCUACCUACCACGGAAGCAGACUGCCUCAAAACUGUUUUUCUUUUCACCCAACCCCGAUGGGACCCUAACAUAAAUUAAGUCCUUACAGGCCUUGCAGUAUAACUCCAGAAACAACCACUGCACCAUCCGCGCCCACCACCCGAAACCUGACGCCGUGAGAACAGGAAUCCCUACGGCUGACUCUUUGAAGUAAACUGGAACUUACUGGAAGCGGUCAAUAAGUACCUAGGUGGGGGACAUGCAGAAUUGUAAGGCUUUCGCUGUAAAAACCUAAACUUAGAACAGAAACUAUAAAAUAGUCAGCACUAUAUCUGUCCACUAAAAAGUACCUCAGCAGCAUGUGGGGAAAAAAAAUUAUUAUUUCUGUUACAGUUAGGGCUAUAAAACUAUAGCCCCAUUAAAAAAAUGUAAACCAUCUGUUAAGGGUCACAAAAAAUAAAAGGCCAGAAGCUCCUACUAAAAAUUGUGCAAUUAAAAACUAUAACCCUGUUACUUUUAAACCACAGCAGUUUUGGAAGAAUUCCCAGUGGUUGGAAAAAAAAAAAACAUGAAAAUUGCGCCUAUAUGUAUUAAGACUUUAGG
Long non-coding RNA from Choloepus didactylus (southern two-toed sloth), 971 nucleotides. RefSeq lists it as uncharacterized. The transcript is spliced from 3 exons. The record is from RefSeq and is a predicted model, not a curated record. NCBI's taxonomy places the organism in Eukaryota, Metazoa, Chordata, Mammalia, Pilosa, Megalonychidae.